CGUGUAGGUGGGAUAUCAAGUCAGAUGUGAAAUCCCGGAGCUCAACUUCGGAAUUGCAUUUGAAACUGGUAUUCUUGAGUACGGGAGAGGGAAGCGGAACUCCAGGUGUAGAGGUGAAAUUCGUAGAUAUCUGGAGGAACACCAGGGGCGAAGGCGGCUUCCUGGCCCGGUACUGACACUGAGAUGCGAAAGCGUGGGGAGCAAACAGGAUUAGAUACCCUGGUAGUCC
This 229-nucleotide ribosomal RNA is filed under the name uncultured bacterium. RNAcentral describes it as "partial 16S ribosomal RNA". It matches the Rfam family "Bacterial small subunit ribosomal RNA", at positions 568 to 796 of the family's 1533-position model. The record is from RNAcentral.